RNAcentral lists this small nuclear RNA (127 nucleotides) under Corchorus capsularis. RNAcentral's name for it is "snRNA U4". It matches the Rfam family "U4 spliceosomal RNA". From Rfam's summary of the family: U4 small nuclear RNA (U4 snRNA) is a component of the major U2-dependent spliceosome. The structure of U4 snRNA from yeast and human has been reported. U4 snRNA presents a k-turn RNA motif in the 5p-SL related to recognition of Snu13 protein. Lineage: Eukaryota; Viridiplantae; Streptophyta; Magnoliopsida; Malvales; Malvaceae. The record is from Rfam by way of RNAcentral.
AUGUUUACGCUUGGGGCAAUGACGCAACUAAUGAGGUUCUAAUCAAGACGCGUCUAUUGCUGGUUGAAAAUCUUCUAAAUAAAAAUGCACUUAUAUGAGUUUUACAUUUUAUCCUUUUAAUCCUAAA